ACGUUGUCGGAUUAUUGGGCGUAAGCGAGCGCAGGCGGUUUUUUAAGUCUGAUGUGAAAGCCUUCGGCUCAACCGAAGAAGUGCAUCGGAAACUGGGAAACUUGAGUGCAGAAGAGGACAGUGGAACUCCAUGUGUAGCGGUGAAAUGCGUAGAUAUAUGGAAGAACACCAGUGGCGAAGGCGGCUGUCUGGUCUGUAACUGACGCUGAGGCUCGAAAGUAUGGGUAGCAAACAGGAUUAGAUACCCUGGUAGUCCAUACCGUAAACGAUGAAUGCUAAGUGUUGGAGGGUUUCCGCCCUUCAGUGCUGCAGCUAACGCAUUAAGCAUUCCGCCUGGGGAGUACGGCCGCAAGGCUGAAACUCAAAGGAAUUGACGGGGGCCCGCACAAGCGGUGGAGCAUGUGGUUUAAUUCGAAGCUACGCGAAGAACCUUACCAGGUCUUGACAUACUAUGCAAAUCUAAGAGAUUAGACGUUCCCUUCGGGGACAUGGAUACAGGUGGUGCAUGGUUGUCGUCAGCUCGUGUCGUGAGAUGUUGGGUUAAGUCCCGCAACGAGCGCAACCCUUAUUAUCAGUUGCCAGCAUUAAGUUGGGCACUCUGGUGAGACUGCCGGUGACAAACCGGAGGAAGGUGGGGAUGACGUCAAAUCAUCAUGCCCCUUAUGACCUGGGCUACACACGUGCUACAAUGGAUGGUACAACGAGUUGCGAACUCGCGAGAGUAAGCUAAUCUCUUAAAGCCAUUCUCAGUUCGGAUUGUAGGCUGCAACUCGCCUACAUGAAGUCGGAAUCGCUAGUAAUCGCGGAUCAGCAUGCCGCGGGUGAAUACGUUCCCGGG
Molecule: ribosomal RNA, 838 nt
Filed under: Lactiplantibacillus plantarum
Lineage: Bacteria; Bacillati; Bacillota; Bacilli; Lactobacillales; Lactobacillaceae
Description: bacterial SSU rRNA
Rfam family: Bacterial small subunit ribosomal RNA
Source: RNAcentral